This is a non-coding RNA of Camellia sinensis, 1498 nucleotides long. The record is from RefSeq and is a predicted model, not a curated record. Lineage: Eukaryota; Viridiplantae; Streptophyta; Magnoliopsida; Ericales; Theaceae.
ACAAUUGAAUUUAAUACAAUUCAAAUCAAUACAUAUCAUUUCCCAUCUCAUACUACUAUUCUAACACCUAGAAAUGGCUAAUCUACACAACACCGAUGAAUCUGAAGUCUGAAAACCCUAGAAUUUGCCUCAGCAGUCGAGAGAGAGAGAUUUGUUCGUUUGUUUCACUUUCUGUUCCAGAAAGAAAGAUAUAAAGCCAAAUGGGUGGCUGGUAUUUAUACAUUGGGAAUCCAAGUUACGAAACGGGAACGUUUACACAAUUUAAACACUUGCACGGCGUCGUAUUAGUCCUCCACAUAGAAAGUACAAAACAGUUUUAGAAUUUCCCAUCAACUACUACGAUUCCGAUUUUGCUUUGGCUCUGUUUUGCAAUGGGUUCAUCAGAAUCAACCCUUUUAAGCUCAAAGGUUGUCUCUUUUCGAUUCAUGUUCAAUUUUCUGUGUGUUUUUCAAAACAAUUAUUUCUUUACUUGAUAAAUUUGCCAAUAUUGUUGUUGUAAAAACUUUUGCAUUUUAUUUUAUGUACGUCAAGGGGGCGGUUGAUGAGAUCACCACUGUCUCUGAGCGAUUCCAAGGCGCAGAUCCCAUCCUAGAGAGGCUCAGAUCCCUCAAAAUUGCAACUCCCAUACUGACGGCAUUGCCAACCGAGACUAGCUUGACAGAUAUGCUAGUGAGGAAACCUUCAUCCUCUUCUGCUGCUUCCGAAAGUGUUUGAUGAGCCAAUUAUUGGCAUUCUGCUUCCUAUGGAUGAAAUAGGUACAGUAAAUCCAAAAGUACUGCUGGAGCUCUUCUCAGUGCACCGUGAUUGGCAGGAGGCAAAGGCCCAGAAGAUUAGAAGAAAUAGAAAACAAGAUAGAAGUUGCAGAUGCUUUGGUGGUUAAACUUCUUCAACGUCUUAAUUAUUCAGUCUCGACAAUGAAGGCUUCUUCACAUCAUCUAUCAGAAGUUCAUGCAUUGAAAGUUGAACUUGGGGAGCUGAAGGGAAGGUUGACUGAGGUGAUUAGUAACUGUGAUGCAUUAUGCAGGAGAAUCAACUCAGAGGGACCAGAAUCACUCAGAUCAUCUGUCAAGCCAUUUUCAUCAGUGACCCCUACUGACUUAGAAACCAGCUCUAGUUUGCCUCAUCUACCAUUGAAGCCAAGUUAAGACUAAUGUGCACACUUUUUCUUUUGGGCCAAGCUUCUCUCCGGUCUAAACUGAUUCUUUAAUAUCAUUAUCACAUUUGUCUUCAAAAAACUAGAUGAUGAGUAUGAUUUUGAAAAUGGAUGGUUCAUUUUCGAAUACAAAUAUGAUGAAAUCAGGUGGGAGUCAAUUCCAUCAACAUGGGCAUGUCAUCAAAAUGAGACCUGUGGUAAGUCCACAAUUUUGAACUGCACAGAGAAUUCAUCUCCCUUUUUUUUUCCCUCUCCCAUGUAAAUUUUUCCAAGAAUUGACAAUCAUAAUUGUGAAAAUUGAGAUUACAGAUCCUGGCUGGCUAGUGCAGUUUGUUUCUUCAUGCA